RNAcentral lists this ribosomal RNA (395 nucleotides) under uncultured bacterium. RNAcentral describes it as "bacterial SSU rRNA". It matches the Rfam family "Bacterial small subunit ribosomal RNA", at positions 355 to 766 of the family's 1533-position model. The record is from RNAcentral.
UAGGGAAUAUUGCACAAUGGGCGAAAGCCUGAUGCAGCAACGCCGCGUGCGCGAUGACGGCCUUCGGGUUGUAAGGCGCUUUUCGGGGAGAUGAGGAAGGACAGUAUCCCCGGAAUAAGGCUCGGCUAACUACGUGCCAGCAGCCGCGGUAACACGUAGGAGCCAAGCGUUAUCCGAAUUCACUGGGCGUAAAGCGCGUGUAGGCGGCUUGGUAAGUUGGAUGUGAAAGCUCCUGGCUCAACUGGGAGAGGACGUUCAAUACUGCCGGGCUAGAGGGCGACAGUGGGAGGUGGAAUUCCCGGUGUAGUGGUGAAAUGCGUAGAUAUCGGGAGGAACACCAGUGGCGAAAGCGGCCUCCUGGGUCGCACCUGACGCUCAGACGCGAAAGCUAGGGG